GGUUUCGAUGCCCUUAGUGCCGAAGUUAACACAUUAAGCACUCCGCCUGGGGAGUACGGCCGCAAGGCUGAAACUCAAAGGAAUUGACGGGGGCCCGCACAAGCGGUGGAGCAUGUGGUUUAAUUCGAAGCAACGCGAAGAACCUUACCAGGUCUUGACAUCCCGAUGACCGCUCUGGAGACAGAGUUUCCCCUUCGGGGGUAUCGGUGACAGGUGGUGCAUGGUUGUCGUCAGCUCGUGUCGUGAGAUGUUGGGUUAAGUCCCGCAACGAGCGCAACCCUUGACCUUAGUUGCCAGCAUUUAGUUGGGCACUCUAAGGUGACUGCCGGUGACAAACCGGAGGAAGGUGGGGAUGACGUCAAAUCAUCAUGCCCCUUAUGACCUGGGCUACACACGUGCUACAAUGGAUGGUACAAAGGGCAGCGAAGCCGCGAGGUGGAGCCAAUCCCAUAAAGCCAUUCUCAGUUCGGAUUGUAGGCUGCAACUCGCCUACAUGAAGCCGGAAUCGCUAGUAAUCGCGGAUCAGCAUGCCGCGGUGAUACGUUCCCGGGCU
Molecule: ribosomal RNA, 553 nt
Filed under: uncultured bacterium
Lineage: Bacteria
Description: bacterial SSU rRNA
Rfam family: Bacterial small subunit ribosomal RNA
Source: RNAcentral